This 534-nucleotide unclassified non-coding RNA is filed under the name Hevea brasiliensis (rubber tree). Lineage: Eukaryota; Viridiplantae; Streptophyta; Magnoliopsida; Malpighiales; Euphorbiaceae. The record is from RNAcentral.
UCUUGAUAUGUGCUUCUUUAGCACCACAGGCUUCAGCAAGUGCCUUGAUAAUGGAAGCAUCACCAAUACCAAGCUCCAUCCCAUCGUGUGCAGCUGCAAUCUUAUUAGCAGCAAGGUACACAACAGGCAACAAAUCCUCAGGCGUCGUCUCAAUCACAGUCCUCAACAUAUUAGUCACAAUUUCAGUGAUCACAAUCCGCCCUGACUCCUUUGAAAUUGCAUCAAACGCCUUAACUACAAACAUGAACGGCACUCUCUGACCAUCUCCCCAAUACACAGCCUUUCUUGGAUCAAAGUUCGCAGCUUUUUUCUUUAUUUCCACAAUGCUCUCAUCUGGACUAAUCAUUUUCCGUUUCUUCACCACACACUCCUCACUUUUCGACUCAUUGACCAAAUGGGUGUCCUCAAUUGGCUUCAAAGUUGAGUCUUGACUCCGUUUCUUCACCUCCAACUCCUCACUUUUCGACUCAUUGACCAAAUGGGUGUCCUCAAUUGGCUUCAAAGUUGAGUCUUGACUCCGUUUCUUCACCUCCA